AUUGAACGCUGGCGGCAUGCCUUACACAUGCAAGUCGAACGGUAACAGGUCUUCGGAUGCUGACGAGUGGCGAACGGGUGAGUAAUACAUCGGAACGUGCCCGAUCGUGGGGGAUAACGGAGCGAAAGCUUUGCUAAUACCGCAUACGAUCUACGGAUGAAAGCAGGGGACCGCAAGGCCUUGCGCGGACGGAGCGGCCGAUGGCAGAUUAGGUAGUUGGUGGGAUAAAAGCUUACCAAGCCGACGAUCUGUAGCUGGUCUGAGAGGACGACCAGCCACACUGGGACUGAGACACGGCCCAGACUCCUACGGGAGGCAGCAGUGGGGAAUUUUGGACAAUGGGCGAAAGCCUGACCCAGCCAUGCCGCGUGCAGGAUGAAGGCCUUCGGGUUGUAAACUGCUUUUGUACGGAACGAAAAGACUCUUUCUAAUAAAGAGGGUCCAUGACGGUACCGUAAGAAUAAGCACCGGCUAACUACGUG
This 482-nucleotide ribosomal RNA is filed under the name uncultured bacterium. Its description in RNAcentral is "partial 16S ribosomal RNA". It matches the Rfam family "Bacterial small subunit ribosomal RNA", at positions 30 to 507 of the family's 1533-position model. The record is from RNAcentral.